This 342-nucleotide long non-coding RNA is filed under the name Pan troglodytes (chimpanzee). Its description in RNAcentral is "long non-coding RNA NONPTRT004602". The record is from RNAcentral. Lineage: Eukaryota; Metazoa; Chordata; Mammalia; Primates; Hominidae.
GGCAAAGCUACUAAGCGGCUAAUGGCAAUCCAGGCUGAAUGCAGACAGCACCAGGCUCCAUCAUGCUGCUAAGACCGGCGCCAUUUAGAACAUAUGCAUGUUUAUUUCUGGAAUUGUUUAUUCGUGUCACAAUGCUUGCAUCAUUCAUCUCAUUUCAUCUCAUCACACGGGCAUCGUAUCAUCUCACGUCAUCACAAGGAGAAGUUUCUGCAACGCACACUGAGUGUCACCUGAUGAUCCACUUUCCUAAGCCUCAUAGAUGGUUCUUAGCAGCCCAUCAACCCAUUAGAGCUGGCUUCUGAACCUUUUGGCUUUGACAUUACUGUUGGAACUCCUGCAGGU